RNAcentral lists this transfer RNA (84 nucleotides) under Planctomycetaceae bacterium. Its description in RNAcentral is "tRNA-Ser". It matches the Rfam family "tRNA". Rfam says of the family: Transfer RNA (tRNA) molecules are approximately 80 nucleotides in length. Their secondary structure includes four short double-helical elements and three loops (D, anti-codon, and T loops). Lineage: Bacteria; Pseudomonadati; Planctomycetota; Planctomycetia; Planctomycetales; Planctomycetaceae. The record is from RNAcentral.
GGAAGGGCAAGCCGAUGGGUGACGGCACCCGGCUCGAAACCGGGCGAGCGACGAGCCUUGAGGGUUCGACUCCCUCCUCUUCCG